AAUGAAUCUCUGGCAUCAGCCCUCAGUAGGUCAUGCCUUGGUUAGAAAGAAGACUUUUCAUAAAAGGUUAUACACCUAAAGUCCCAAGAACUGAACUCCUGUUGGAGAUUUGAAAGAAUGUGGCGUCUUUGCUUCUUACAUCAGAGUGAGGCAAGGUCUAGAUGAGCCUCCACAUUGCCCGGGGGCAGGGCUAUGGUGUAUCUUUCCAUGGCGCCUACAUGAUGUCAUGACCAUAAUAUGUAACUUGCAUUUCUUUCACUAUUUACCUCCAAUUAAAAACACAAAAGCC
Molecule: long non-coding RNA, 289 nt
Organism: Eptesicus fuscus (big brown bat)
Lineage: Eukaryota; Metazoa; Chordata; Mammalia; Chiroptera; Vespertilionidae
Exons: 2
Source: RefSeq, a predicted model, not a curated record